Molecule: non-coding RNA, 803 nt
Organism: Macaca mulatta (Rhesus monkey)
Lineage: Eukaryota; Metazoa; Chordata; Mammalia; Primates; Cercopithecidae
Source: RefSeq, a predicted model, not a curated record
GCCUGGGUCACGUGACAAGGCUGGCGCUUGUCUAAAGCUACGGUUCGCCCACGUGACUGUCUCCGGCGGAGAGGGGCGGGGUGUAGAACCAAGAAGUCCCUGUGCGCUUGCGCAGAAGCCGAACUACCGCUUUCCACGUAACCAGGGAGUCUGCAGUUUGCAGUGAUGUGGCUAAGAUACCCUUGUGCUAUUACUUUAAAGGAACAUUUACGUAUCUUUCAACGCAGUUUGUACCUUUGUUCAGGGUUCUGUUGAACUUUCUCUGUACUCUUUAGAAAACCUUCGAAUAAAUGUAACCAUCUUUUUGGGUGCCUGGGCAUGGUCAUUCUCCCAGAGUUUUAACAACUCAAAUGAUGCUGUUUUUGGACAGGGAGGCCAUGGGCCAAGUACAGAGAGGCAACAGGAUGGAAUUAAGAUGUUUCCAGUGAAAGAAAGAAGAAAGCAUCCUUUUCUCUUGACUGUGCAGAAAAAAAUUCUGUGUUUCUUUGAUUCUCCAUUUUACUAGAUGCCAUACCUUUGUAAUUACUUCAUGUGGAGUCUUGACCAAGAUUCAGGAAAUACUAGAACUUUCAGUCCCAGAGGGUUACUCUAGGCAUUACUAGUUUCCGUCAUUAUGAGUUGAGUUUUACUAGUUAAUUUCAGAUGAAAAACAUUUGUUUUUCCCCAGAUUCUGGGGUUGUGUACUUUUACUACCUAUGAACUGACAACUGUAUCUCCAGUAAUUACAAUUUCCAACAAAAUGUUAUAGGAAUAAAGAAAAGAUGUUAGUUCAUUAUUCCUUUAAUAAAAGGAAAUGGUCUGUA